GGACGUGCUGCUACUCCCCUCAUUCCCAACAUGUAUCAAGUACCUGCAUUGAGUAAUGCAAGAGUGAGAUGACACAUCUCAGCAAGUAAAAUAAUAUCAAACAGUUUAACCAUAUAAGAACAUUGUUUUACCACCACUUAAUUCCACAACCUUCUUAUUACGAAGGUGCAGCACGUAUACAACGUACAACGCACCUAGUUACCACACCUCGCAGGUAGAAACCACAAUAGUAACAUAGUAAUGUCACACUUCAUAUAUUCCUCAUGAGUGCAAAUGUCUGCAAAUGCAAGGAUGACUUCUGCCUUCAUACCUCUAAGGAUAUGAAGCUGCAUCGUACCCCUCCUCGGGCAACGUACGAUGCUAAAAAUGUACCGGUACGGUCGGACCAUAAGAUCACGACAUAACUUCAAAAUGCAAGAUGGAUGAUGCGAUGUGCAUGUCAUGCCUACAACACUUCAUAUAACAUGAUUCAAAAAGACACUUCAACUUCAUCCAGAUGGGAAUCAACCACAUAUAUCAUUACCAAAUUAUGAUCAUCCAUAAUAUUAGACAAUUGAGAAUUAAUACUUCCAAACAAAUAAACUUUAUCAUAGAAUUCAAUGAUUAACAUAAUUAAAACUUGUGCAUACUCAAUGACAGGGAAUAGGAUGCAAACCAAACGGUAGCAACCACCACUGUAUUUACUUGCCUUUACCAGAAGUUCGGGCAAAUCCCAAGUACGAUCCGAAAGCCCACCACCUGUUUUUGACACCCAACUUAGUACACCAAUUUCACAUAAUCAGGCUCAUAAGCGACGCCGCACCUACGCACAAACUCAAACUCCGCCGCGGGUUACAUCUCUCCCUACACCCACCAAACUGCAGCGGCGCUGCUUAAUAAUUUCAUAACUUUAAAAUUAUGACAGCAGUGGUAACAAACAAAAACUCCAGAGGCAUCUACAUAAAAUUCCCCACAAGUUUUGUAUACAAUUUAUAAUUAAAUUUCAAUAUCUAAUUAGCCCAAAACAGUCCACAAGAUGAACCCUGUAAUCUGUUUUUCUUUGUCUUUUGGACAGCGACAUACCCAGAUUCAAACAUCGAUAUCUUUUAAAAUAUAAUUCCAAAUCAAGCACAUAAGUACUCAUUGGAAAGAUAAGACAAAUAUCUACAUGAUUACCAUACUGGUUAACACUAAUUACCCACGAAAAAGUCCCAGAAACUGCUAAUACCACUGCUGUUCACCCACCUGAAAAAUCUGUUUUUUUGGACAGCAACAUAACCGGAUUCAAACAACGAUAUCUCCUGAAUUAUAACUCCGAAUCGAGCGCAUAAGUACUUGUUGGAAAGAUAACAUAAAGCCCUACAUGAUUCUCAUACUGAUUAACACUAAUUACUCCCAAAAAAUCCCCAGAAAUGCUAAUACUGCUGCUGUUCAUCCCCUGAAAAAUCUGUUUUUUUGGACAGCCACAUACCCGGAUUCAAACGGUGAUAACUUUCAAUUUAUAACUCCAAAUUGAGCGCAUAAAUACUCGUUGGAAAGGUAAUGUAAAGUUCUACAUGAUCCCCAAACUGAUUUCCCUUAAUUCCUCACGAAAAAAACACAGAAACUGCUAGACUACUGCUGUUCACCCACCACCUAAAAUUCUGGACAGCCCCCCUCUACCCCAAUCGCAAACGCAACCUCUAAUCAAUUAAAUUGCAGCGCAAAUGAACAAGGGAUGAACACAAAAAUCACCUUGGAUUCUCCCCCUUUCCUUCCUCCCUUAUUCCCUCCACCAAAACGAUUGAAGACUCGCACCACGACGACGAUGAUCCGAGCGGCAAGGAUUGGCACCUUGGGAGGAGGGGAUUGAGAGGGGGGGGCGGCUAGGGUUUGGUGGCUGCAAGAAUUGAGAGAGGAGGAGAUGGGCAGGGGGCGGCGGCCAAGGGGGAAGAG
RNAcentral lists this long non-coding RNA (1914 nucleotides) under Zea mays. RNAcentral describes it as "long non-coding RNA (ZMAY_LNC001044)". Lineage: Eukaryota; Viridiplantae; Streptophyta; Magnoliopsida; Poales; Poaceae. The record is from RNAcentral.